RNAcentral lists this ribosomal RNA (253 nucleotides) under uncultured bacterium. Its description in RNAcentral is "partial 16S ribosomal RNA". It matches the Rfam family "Bacterial small subunit ribosomal RNA", at positions 524 to 776 of the family's 1533-position model. The record is from RNAcentral.
UACGUAGGGUGCGAGCGUUGUCCGGAAUUAUUGGGCGUAAAGAGCUCGUAGGCGGUCUGUCGCGUCUGCUGUGAAAACUCGGGGCUUAACCCCGGGCCUGCAGUGGGUACGGGCAGACUAGAGUGCGGUAGGGGAGACUGGAAUUCCCGGUGUAGCGGUGAAAUGCGCAGAUAUCGGGAGGAACACCAAUGGCGAAGGCAGCUCGCUGGGACGUUACUGACGCUGAGACGCGAAAGCGUGGGGAGCAAACAGG